Molecule: transfer RNA, 74 nt
Filed under: compost metagenome
Description: tRNA-Asp
Rfam family: tRNA
About the family: Transfer RNA (tRNA) molecules are approximately 80 nucleotides in length. Their secondary structure includes four short double-helical elements and three loops (D, anti-codon, and T loops).
Source: RNAcentral
UCGGUGGUAACUCAGCUGGUUAGAGUAAUUGUUUGUCACACAGGAGGUCGUAGGUUCAAAUCCUAUCCAUCGCA